UGACUGAUUACUUAACUUUAUUAAGGAGAUAGUACAUUUAAAGUGAACUUGAUGGAAGCCUAUGAGGGAUAAGCCACUCAAUGAAAUCAUCUGUUACCAAAAAAUCAAAAAAAAGAAUUUAAACAGGGAGAUUUACUUCCCCUUGCUGUAACCUUGUGAUAAGAUAAGCAGCAAAAACAGUAAAGUGAUGGACACACACACACACACACACACACACACACAGACACAGACACACAGUAUCUAAUAAUAGCAGCAUCAGGUCACAGUUUAAACACACUGUCCUUUGGUUCAUUGGGGAAACCGUUUCCCUUGUUUGCUUCAUAGGAUAUUGAACUCAGUUUUUACCUUGUGUUUUUCCUCCACGUCACCCCGACAUUAGUACUCUGUGCUGGUGUAGUUUUUAGUUUUGGUACUAGAGGCGUUCUGUUCUCUUUCUGCUUAUGCAAACUGACCAGUGCAUCUUCCGUUUGCUAUUUAACACCAGUUUAUUUCUACUGAAGAAUCUCCAGGCACCCAAUUUAAGUCCAAUUCAACAUUAAAAUAAUUCUGGUUAAUACACAACACUGCUACAGCCUGCAAACUCAUGCUUUGAUGUUAUUAUACAAUUCAGGACUGCACAAUGAAACGUAGCUGCAGCUUCCUGCACAAGCAUAUAAAAUACAAUACAAUUAGGUUUUUAACAUCUCUGUCUCUCUCUCCCUGUAGGUGAGCGACUGCAAACAUCUGGCAGCAUGACCAGCGUCAACUCUCCAGCCUGUCUGCUCGCCCGUAACCACUUUUACAAAAACUCGUCCCCCAGCCACGAGAAGAUAAAUCCUGUUGUUGAAGUGUUCAGCUGUCAGAACCACUCCAUCACACACAAUCCGAGACGGUUCACCCUCUGGGUCACCAUGGUAACGCCUCCAGGUAAAACACUACACACAGACCAGGUAACAUGUGGUACGCUACAAUGUGAUUACAAUGACCAUGCAGUGCGUGCACCCAGUGACCGGUACAAAAUG
Long non-coding RNA from Gasterosteus aculeatus (three-spined stickleback), 1001 nucleotides. The record is from Ensembl. Lineage: Eukaryota; Metazoa; Chordata; Actinopteri; Perciformes; Gasterosteidae.